Molecule: long non-coding RNA, 1017 nt
Filed under: Homo sapiens (human)
Lineage: Eukaryota; Metazoa; Chordata; Mammalia; Primates; Hominidae
Description: HSALNT0351160
Source: RNAcentral
ACCUUUGUGUAUUUUUUGGGGGAAGAAAAAGUAAUUCUGUUUUAACAUAACUGACUUGUAGGUGAACUUCUGGACAACAGUGUUUUUCUCAAUUAGGAACUGCCUACGCUGUACUUUCUCUGCAGACUUCUCAUAAAUCAGUGAGCUUCUAAAUCCGAGGUCUACCUCCCAUGUAUGUCAGGAACACUGUCUAUCUUUAGAAUUUUUUUCAUGUGCAUACCAAACACAUGUAUAAUUUUAUCCUUUCAAAACGUUAUAAACAUCAUUCAUUUAUAAAUAGAGAUUCAGAUUCAGAAAAGAUAAGUGACUUAACAAGGGCGUAUAGCUAGUUGAAAUUUAAAUUCAGGUUAUCAGACUCUCUAGUCCAUGCUUUUUUUUAUUGCUAUCAUGCUUCCUCCUGGGUGAUUAAACAUACUUUUGUAGCCCUGGGCUUCCUUAUAUUGGGGCAUCUUUAUUCAGGCAAUUCUCCUGCCUCAGCCUCUUGGAGCAGCUGGGACGACAGGCACAUGCACCACGCCCAGCUAAUUUUUGUAUUUUUGAUAGAGAUGGGGUAUCACCAUGUUGGCCAGGCUGGUCUCGAACUCCUGAGCUCAAGUUAUUUGCUGGGAUUACAGGCAUGAGCCACCAUGCCCAGCCCGAUUUUUUUUUUUUUUUUUGCGGGGGACAGAGUCUCACUCUGUUGCCAGGCUGGAAUGCUGUGGCGCGAUCUUGGCUCACUGCAACCUCCGCCUCCCUGGUUCAAGUGAUUCUCCUGUCUCAGACUCCUGAGUAGCUGGGAUUAUAGGCUGGUUCCACCACACCCAGCUAAUUUUUGUAUUUUUAGUAGAGACAGGGUUUCACCAUGUUGGCCAGGAUGGUCUGGAUCUCCUGACCUCGUGAUCCGCCCACCUCGGCCUCCCAAAGUGCUGGGAUUACAGGCAUGAGCCACCGCGCCCGGCCUAUUUAUGUGUUUUAAUUGCCAGAAGUUAAUUGUUUUUGAGGGGGGUUGGCUAAUAGUAGGCUGUUUUGUGAAGGAGU